AUGGAUUGCAUCUUGGCGAAUGAAACUUGGGAGAUAACUGAUCGUCCUUAUGGGUGCAAACCUAUAGGAUGCAAAUGGGUAUUCAAGGAGAAGCUUAGGCCUGAUGGUACUAUUGAAAAGUACAAGGCUCGGAUCGUGGCUAAGGGUUAUACCGAAAAGGAAGGUGAAGACUUCUUUGAUACUUACUCACUUGUGGCUCGACUGACCACUAUUCGAGUUCUACUUUCACUAGCUGCCUCACAUGGUCUCCUCGUUCAUCAAAUGGAUGUUAAGACUGCUUUCCUAAAUGGAGAGUUGGACGAGGAAAUUUAUAUGGAACAACCAGAUGGGUUUGUAAUAGAUGGUCAGGAAGGGAAAGUGUGCAAGUUGCUGAAGUCUUUGUACGGACUUAAGCAAGUACCCAAACAGUGGCAUGAGAAGUUUGAAAGAACUUUAACAGCUGCAGGCUUUGUUGUAAACGAAGCUGACAAAUGUGUGUACUAUCGCCAUGGUGGGGGCAAGGGAGUUAUCCUUUGCUUGUAUGUUGAUGACAUACUGAUUUUUGGAACAAAUCUGAAUGUUAUUAAGGAGGUCAAGGAUUUCCUAUCUCGUUGCUUUGAGAUGAAGGAUUUAGGAGUGGCUGAUGUCAUUCUAAACAUCAAGUUGUUGAGAGACGAUGAUGGUGGGAUAACAUUGCUUCAAUCUCACUAUGUGGAAAAGAUCUUGAGUCGCUUUGGCUAUAGUGACUGCAAGCCCACUCCAACACCAUAUGAUGCGAGCGUGUUACUUCGAAAGAAUCGAAGAAUUGCUAGAGAUCAAUUAAAAUAUUCUCAGAUUAUUGGCUCGCUUAUGUACUUAGCCAUUGCUACAAGACCUGACAUCUCUUUUGUUGUUACCAAACUGAGUCGGUUUGUCUCAAAACCAGGAGAUGUGCAUUGGAAAGCUCUAGAAAGAGUUUUGUGUUAUUUGAAAGGCACUGCGAAUUAUGGAAUUCACUACACUGGGCACCCAAAGGUGCUUGAAGGGUAUAGUGACUCAAACUGGAUCUCAGAUGCUGAUGAGAUAAAGGCCACGAGCGGGUAUGUAUUCACUCAUGGAGGUGGCGCUGUUUCUUGGAAGUCUUGCAAGCAGACCAUCUUAACGAGGUCAAUAAUGGAAGCAGAACUCACAACACUAGAUACAGCUACGGUCGAAGCAGAUUGGGUUCGCCGGCUCUUGAAUGACUUGUCGGUUGUUGAAAAACCUGUACCGGGUAUCCUUACGAACUACGACAAUCAAACUGUG
RNAcentral lists this ribosomal RNA (1263 nucleotides) under Triticum aestivum (bread wheat). RNAcentral's name for it is "partial small subunit ribosomal RNA". Lineage: Eukaryota; Viridiplantae; Streptophyta; Magnoliopsida; Poales; Poaceae. The record is from RNAcentral.